This 125-nucleotide small nuclear RNA is filed under the name Suricata suricatta (meerkat). RNAcentral's name for it is "U2 spliceosomal RNA (ENSSSUG00005018797.1)". It matches the Rfam family "U2 spliceosomal RNA". From Rfam's summary of the family: U2 is a small nuclear RNA (snRNA) component of the spliceosome (involved in pre-mRNA splicing). Complementary binding between U2 snRNA (in an area lying towards the 5' end but 3' to hairpin I) and the branchpoint sequence (BPS) of the intron results the bulging out of an unpaired adenosine, on the BPS, which initiates a nucleophilic attack at the intronic 5' splice site, thus starting the first of two transesterification reactions that mediate splicing. The record is from Rfam by way of RNAcentral. Lineage: Eukaryota; Metazoa; Chordata; Mammalia; Carnivora; Herpestidae.
AUCGCUUCUCGGCCUUUUGGCUAAGACCAAGUGUAGUAUCUGUUCUUAUCAGUUUAAACUAAGAGGUGAAAUAACUAAAUUAUUGCACCUCAAUAUGAGUUUUCCAGUAAGAUUUAAUACCAUCU